Molecule: long non-coding RNA, 1311 nt
Filed under: Vulpes vulpes (red fox)
Lineage: Eukaryota; Metazoa; Chordata; Mammalia; Carnivora; Canidae
Description: lncRNA (ENSVVUG00000000158.1)
Source: RNAcentral
UGAAAAUGCAAUUAUAUCAUACAUGUGUCCACACACAUAUAUAUGAUUUUUCUGAGCAGUCUAGUCUACAAGGUAUCCUAAAACUGAUGUCGUCAAUUCUACUUAAUUUAAAUUAAUCGAGGAUUUUUAUUUUUGACCUCUGUGUGCCUUCUUCAUCUGCAAAGUGGGUUUCACAAUGGUUCCUACAUCAUAGGAUUGUUUGUGAGAAUUAAAUAUGUCAUAUAUAAAAACUACAUCGAAUAGUGGCUGGUCUGUAGAAAGCUCCAUAUCUUGGCUACUACUAUUAUGACCUCCACCUUCAUCCUUGCUGGUAGCCAUGCUUUCCAGGUGAUGAAGGGGGUGGGGGUGGGGGUUCCCAUGGGGGCGUAGCAUGGUGAGAUACUUCUCGUCCCCAGUUUUCAUCACAACGGAUGGCAGUACCCUUGCUGAGAAGUCCUGUUCCUCUAAGGUUUCCACUCAGGAACUCUGUGUUCUGAGAAAGAAAAUUGACUUCUCAUUGAGGUGGGUUUGUCCCUGUCUGCAGUCUCAAAAAAAAAAAAAAAUUGGGGACAUGGUUUUUCCAUACAAGGUCUAUUUCACAAGAGGAGUGACUUCCUCAUCAGGCAAUGAAUCCCAUGGGCAUUCUGGCUGACAUUUCCUCCCCGGCCUCCACGGUUAAGCCCAAAUAGUGGCUUCCCUCAGUGAGCAACCCCCUUGCCAGUCACUUUAAAGGGGAAUUUCCUCCUUCCAGUGCCAGCCUCGGCCACUCCCGUCCCCCUUUGGCCUCCUCAGAGGACAGUGAUCAUGACACAGGCUGAAGUUGUCCUUCAUGAAUCAGCUCAGGAGUGAAGAGCUGGCUCUGCUGAUAGCGAGGGUGCUUUGUACACUUUGCUUAAGCCUCAGACACUUUUGAAAGUGAAAGGGGACACCGGCUCUAAUUGCACCAGGACAGUAGGUCUGAGCUGGAUUAGUGUCUCUCCCUUCCAGUAAACCAAGCCUCUAGGGCACUCAGAGUUCACGAGGCCGCCAGUCUCCCCAGCAGGGUUCUCGCCCCCUCCACUCCCUCCACGUGGGGACAGGUUAGUCUUUGCCUCCAGUAUUCAGGUCAAGGAAACGAUGGUCGAGCUUCGAGCUUCGGCGGCAUAGGGUCAGGGGUCCCUCUCUGAUUUGUUGAGUCUCCUUCCUAAGCCUGUGUGGUCUUUGUGUCUUUGUUGUUUGUAGCUAUGGUUUCUGAGUGUGAGCUAAGAACAAAAUGCCAUUUUUGCUUUUCCUAAAGGCAAAGAAAAAGAGAAGUGCCUCCUUCGGACAAAUAAAUCCUUAGCAGGUGUCCCA